RNAcentral lists this ribosomal RNA (387 nucleotides) under uncultured bacterium. Its description in RNAcentral is "bacterial SSU rRNA". It matches the Rfam family "Bacterial small subunit ribosomal RNA", at positions 547 to 938 of the family's 1533-position model. The record is from RNAcentral.
GGAUUUAUUGGGUUUAAAGGGUGCGUAGGCGGUUUAUUAAGUCAGUGGUGAAAGACGGUCGCUCAACGAUUGCAGUGCCAUUGAUACUGGUAGACUUGAGUGUGAUUGAGGUAGCUGGAAUGGAUAGUGUAGCGGUGAAAUGCAUAGAUAUUAUCCAGAACACCAAUUGCGAAGGCAGGUUACUAAGUCACAACUGACGCUGAUGCACGAAAGUGUGGGUAUCAAACAGGAUUAGAUACCCUGGUAGUCCACACUGUAAACGAUGAUAACUAACUGUUGGCAUUCGUGUCAGUGGUACAGAGAAAUCGUUAAGUUAUCCACCUGGGGAGUACGCCGGCAACGGUGAAACUCAAAGGAAUUGACGGGGGCCCGCACAAGCGGUAAUCG